ACGGGUAUUCUCGGGCGGAUAAUACGGACGCGCUGUUAUUGCUUGAGAAUACGCGUAG
This 58-nucleotide microRNA precursor is filed under the name Columba livia (rock pigeon). RNAcentral describes it as "Cli-Mir-137-P3_pre stem-loop". It matches the Rfam family "mir-137 microRNA precursor family", at positions 8 to 67 of the family's 72-position model. The record is from RNAcentral. Lineage: Eukaryota; Metazoa; Chordata; Aves; Columbiformes; Columbidae.